AUAAUGCCUCUAACUCUUCGUCCUGAGUAGUAACGUCUAUGCCCAAACUCAAAGAAUUUGGCGGCACUUUGCCCUAUUAGAGGAGCCUGCCGCGUAAUCGACGACCCACGAGCUUCCCUACCCCGUCUCAAAGUUUGUAUACCGCCGUCGAGGGCGUGUUAAAAAACACGCUUAAACCGAUGUUAAUAUUAAUCUCAGGUCAAGGUGCAGCCCAUGGCAGGGCGCGGGUGGGCUACAUUAAGGUUAUUUACACGGAUUAUUUGAUUAAAUUUAAUAUAAAGGUGGAUUUAUAAGUAAGUUUGGGGGUUGCCAAACUGGCAAGGUUCU
RNAcentral lists this ribosomal RNA (327 nucleotides) under Centroptiloides bifasciata. RNAcentral describes it as "partial 12S ribosomal RNA". The record is from RNAcentral. Lineage: Eukaryota; Metazoa; Arthropoda; Insecta; Ephemeroptera; Baetidae.